RNAcentral lists this ribosomal RNA (500 nucleotides) under uncultured Glomeromycotina. Its description in RNAcentral is "partial small subunit ribosomal RNA". It matches the Rfam family "Eukaryotic small subunit ribosomal RNA", at positions 591 to 1092 of the family's 1831-position model. The record is from RNAcentral. Lineage: Eukaryota; Fungi; Glomeromycota.
CCAAUAGCGUAUAUUAAAGUUGUUGCAGUUAAAAAGCUCGUAGUUGAAUUUCGGGAUCGACGGGUCGGUCGCGCCUCUGGUGUGUACUGGCCCUGUCGGUUUCUCCCUUCUGACGAACCACGAUGUCAUUAAUUUGAUGUCGUGGGAAAUCAGGACUGUUACUUUGAAAAAAUUAGAGUGUUUAAAGCAGGCAUUCGCUUGAAUACAUUAGCAUGGAAUAAUGAAAUAGGACGUUUGAUCUUAUUUUGUUGGUUUCUAAGAUCGACGUAAUGAUUAAUAGGGAUAGUUGGGGGCAUUAGUAUUCAAUUGUCAGAGGUGAAAUUCUUGGAUUUAUUGAGGACUAACUACUGCGAAAGCAUUUGCCAAGGAUGUUUUCAUUAAUCAAGAACGAAAGUUAGGGGAUCGAAGACGAUCAGAUACCGUCGUAGUCUUAACCAUAAACUAUGCCGACUAGGGAUCGGAUGAUGUUAAUUUUUUAAUGACUCAUUCGGCGCCUUACG